UUACAGAGUUAGCUUACAAUUAUAGUGAAUUUGUAUUUGAUUUUAAAUAGCCUAGUCAACAAGAAUUUGUUAUAUUUAGGAAGUAGUAGGUAGCUAACAGAGGAGUAGGAAGUAGUAGGUAGCUGACAGAGGAGUAGGAAGUAGUAGGUAGCUGACAGAGGAGUAGGAAGAAGUAGGUAGCUGACAGAGGAGUAGGAAGAAGUAGGUAGCUGACAGAGGAGUAGGAAGUAGUAGGUAGCUGACAGAGGAGUAGGAAGUAGUAGGUAGCUGACAGAGGAGUAGGAAGAAGUAGGUAGCUGACAGGAGUAGGAAGUAGUAGGUAGCUGACAGAGGAGUAGGAAGUAGUAGGUAGCUGACAGAGGAGUAGGAAGUAGUAGGUAGCUGACAGAGGAGUAGGAAGUAGUAGGUAGCUGACAGAGGAGUAGGAAGUAGUAGGUAGCUGACAGAGGAGUAGGAAGUAGUAGGUAGCUGACAGAGGAGUAGGAAGUAGUAGGUAGCUGACAGAGGAGUCACGCACCUUGAUGGACGAAUUCUUUACACUUAUCUUUUAAUUAACUUAAUUAAUUUUUUAAAAAAGCAAUAUUUUCAUGAUAUUCAGCAUAUUAAUGGUUAUCACUGUGUGGGCCUGUGUCUCUCCAGUCCCAGACACACAGACAAACUGUGUUAUGAACCCCCAGCCCAGUAGACAACAAGGUAUCAGGUGUCAAAACAUCACACCUGUUAGAUUAUUGAAAUGAUGUCAUCUGUUUACAUAUACAUGUCAUUCAAUAAACA
Molecule: long non-coding RNA, 774 nt
Organism: Oncorhynchus keta (chum salmon)
Lineage: Eukaryota; Metazoa; Chordata; Actinopteri; Salmoniformes; Salmonidae
Exons: 3
Source: RefSeq, a predicted model, not a curated record